This 1322-nucleotide ribosomal RNA is filed under the name uncultured bacterium. RNAcentral describes it as "bacterial SSU rRNA". It matches the Rfam family "Bacterial small subunit ribosomal RNA", at positions 28 to 1398 of the family's 1533-position model. The record is from RNAcentral.
GAUGAACGCUGGCGGCGUGCUUAACACAUGCAAGUCGAACGAACCUUCGGGUUAGUGGCGGACGGGUGAGUAACGCGUGAGAAUCUGCCCUCAGGAGGGGGAUAACGGUUGGAAACGACCGCUAAUACCCCAUAUGCCGAUAGGUGAAAUGAAUUUCGCCUGAGGAUGAGCUCGCGUCUGAUUAGCUUGUUGGUGAGGUAAUGGCUCACCAAGGCUUCGAUCAGUAGCUGGUCUGAGAGGAUGAUCAGCCACACUGGGACUGAGACACGGCCCAGACUCCUACGGGAGGCAGCAGUGGGGAAUUUUCCGCAAUGGGCGAAAGCCUGACGGAGCAACGCCGCGUGAGGGACGAAGGCCUCUGGGCUGUAAACCUCUUUUCUCAAGGAAGAAGAUAUGACGGUGCUUGAGGAAUAAGCCACGGCUAAUUCCGUGCCAGCAGCCGCGGUAAUACGGGAGUGGCAAGCGUUAUCCGGAAUUAUUGGGCGUAAAGCGUCCGCAGGCGGCCUUUCAAGUCUGCUGUUAAAGCGUGGAGCUUAACUCCAUUAUGGCAGUGGAAACUGAUCGGCUUGAGUAUGGUAGGGGCAGAGGGAAUUCCCGGUGUAGCGGUGAAAUGCAUAGAUAUCGGGAAGAACACCAGUGGCGAAGGCGCUCUGCUGGGCCAUUACUGACGCUCAUGGACGAAAGCCAGGGGAGCGAAAGGGAUUAGAUACCCCUGUAGUCCUGGCCGUAAACGAUGAACACUAGGUGUCGGGGGAAUCGACCCCUUCGGUGUCGUAGCUAACGCGUUAAGUGUUCCGCCUGGGGAGUACGCACGCAAGUGUGAAACUCAAAGGAAUUGACGGGGGCCCGCACAAGCGGUGGAGUAUGUGGUUUAAUUCGAUGCAACGCGAAGAACCUUACCAGGGUUUGACAUCCUGAGAACCUCUUAGAAAUUUGAGGGUGCCUUCGGGAAUUCAGUGACAGGUGGUGCAUGGCUGUCGUCAGCUCGUGUCGUGAGAUGUUGGGUUAAGUCCCGCAACGAGCGCAACCCACGUUUUUAGUUGCCAGCAUUUAGUUGGGCACUCUAGAAAGACCGCCGGUGAUAAACCGGAGGAAGGUGUGGAUGACGUCAAGUCAUCAUGCCCCUUACACCCUGGGCUACACACGUACUACAAUGCUACGGACAAAGGGCAGCAAACUCGCGAGAGCUAGCAAAUCCCAUAAACCGUGGCUCAGUUCAGAUCGUAGGCUGCAACUCGCCUACGUGAAGUAGGAAUCGCUAGUAAUCGCAGGUCAGCAUACUGCGGUGAAUACGUUCCCGGGCCUUGCACUCACCGCCCGUC